This 497-nucleotide ribosomal RNA is filed under the name uncultured bacterium. Its description in RNAcentral is "partial 16S ribosomal RNA". It matches the Rfam family "Bacterial small subunit ribosomal RNA", at positions 28 to 507 of the family's 1533-position model. The record is from RNAcentral.
GAUGAACGCUGGCGGCGUGCCUAAUACAUGCAAGUCGAGCGAACAGACGAGGAGCUUGCUCCUCUGACGUUAGCGGCGGACGGGCGAGUAACACGUGGAUAACCUACCUAUAAGACUGGGAUAACUUCGGGAAACCGGAGCUAAUACCGGAUAAUAUAUUGAACCGCAUGGUUCAAUAGUGAAAGACGGUUUUGCUGUCACUUAUAGAUGGAUCCGCGCCGCAUUAGCUAGUUGGUAAGGUAACGGCCUACCAAGGCAACGAUGCGUAGCCGACCUGAGAGGGUGAUCGGCCACACUGGAACUGAGACACGGUCCAGACUCCUACGGGAGGCAGCAGUAGGGAAUCUUCCGCAAUGGGCGAAAGCUUGACGGAGCAACGCCGCGUGAGUGAUGAAGGUCUUCGGAUCGUAAAACUCUGUUAUUAGGGAAGAACAAAUGUGUAAGUAACUAUGCACGUCUUGACGGUACCUAAUCAGAAAGCCACGGCUAACUACGUG